UACGUAGGGGGCUAGCGUUAUCCGGAAUUACUGGGCGUAAAGGGUGCGUAGGUGGUUUCUUAAGUCAGAGGUGAAAGGCUACGGCUCAACCGUAGUAAGCCUUUGAAACUGGGAAACUUGAGUGCAGGAGAGGAGAGUGGAAUUCCUAGUGUAGCGGUGAAAUGCGUAGAUAUUAGGAGGAACACCAGUUGCGAAGGCGGCUCUCUGGACUGUAACUGACACUGAGGCACGAAAGCGUGGGGAGCAAACAGGAUUAGAUACCCGUGUAGUCCCUGAGCGGG
This 281-nucleotide ribosomal RNA is filed under the name uncultured prokaryote. Its description in RNAcentral is "partial 16S ribosomal RNA". It matches the Rfam family "Bacterial small subunit ribosomal RNA", at positions 524 to 803 of the family's 1533-position model. The record is from RNAcentral.